GCCAGGUGUGGUGGUGCACGCCUGUAAUCCCAGCUACUCAGGAGGCUGAGGCAGGAGAAUUGCUUGAACCUGGGAGGCAGAGAUUGCAGCGAGCCAAGGUCACGCCACUGCACUCCAGCCUGGGUGACAAAGCGAGAUUCUGUCUCAA
Molecule: non-coding RNA, 148 nt
Filed under: Pan troglodytes (chimpanzee)
Lineage: Eukaryota; Metazoa; Chordata; Mammalia; Primates; Hominidae
Source: Rfam by way of RNAcentral